AGACUCGCCCGGGGGGCCGCCCCGGGCGGGGCGGGGGCACGGGGGGAACGCGAAGAACCUUACCUACUCUUGACAUCCAGAGAAUUUGCUAGAGAUAGCUUAGUGCCUUCGGGAACUCUGAGACAGGUGCUGCAUGGCUGUCGUCAGCUCGUGUUGUGAAAUGUUGGGUUAAGUCCCGCAACGAGCGCAACCCUUAUCCUUUGUUGCCAGCGAGUAAUGUCGGGAACUCAAAGGAGACUGCCGGUGAUAAACCGGAGGAAGGUGGGGAUGACGUCAAGUCAUCAUGGCCCUUACGAGUAGGGCUACACACGUGCUACUAAUGGCAUAUACAAAGAGAAGCGAACUCGCGAGAGCAAGCGGACCUCAUAAAGUAUGUCGUAGUCCGGAUUGGAGUCUGCAACUCGACUCCAUGAAGU
Molecule: ribosomal RNA, 416 nt
Filed under: Hafnia sp. CK49
Lineage: Bacteria; Pseudomonadati; Pseudomonadota; Gammaproteobacteria; Enterobacterales; Hafniaceae
Description: bacterial SSU rRNA
Rfam family: Bacterial small subunit ribosomal RNA
Source: RNAcentral